This 534-nucleotide ribosomal RNA is filed under the name Mycobacterium sp. RNAcentral's name for it is "bacterial SSU rRNA". It matches the Rfam family "Bacterial small subunit ribosomal RNA", at positions 28 to 579 of the family's 1533-position model. The record is from RNAcentral. Lineage: Bacteria; Bacillati; Actinomycetota; Actinomycetes; Mycobacteriales; Mycobacteriaceae.
GACGAACGCUGGCGGCGUGCUUAACACAUGCAAGUCGAACGGUAAGGCCCUUCGGGGUACACGAGUGGCGAACGGGUGAGUAACACGUGGGUGAUCUGCCCUGCACUUCGGGAUAAGCCUGGGAAACUGGGUCUAAUACCGGAUAUGACUACAGGCUUCAUGGUUUGUGGUGGAAAGCUUUUGCGGUGUGGGAUGGGCCCGCGGCCUAUCAGCUUGUUGGUGAGGUUACGGCUCACCAAGGCGACGACGGGUAGCCGGCCUGAGAGGGUGUCCGGCCACACUGGGACUGAGAUACGGCCCAGACUCCUACGGGAGGCAGCAGUGGGGAAUAUUGCACAAUGGGCGCAAGCCUGAUGCAGCGACGCCGCGUGGGGGAUGACGGCCUUCGGGUUGUAAACCUCUUUCAGUACAGACGAAGCGCAAGUGACGGUAUGUACAGAAGAAGCACCGGCCAACUACGUGCCAGCAGCCGCGGUAAUACGUAGGGUGCGAGCGUUGUCCGGAAUUACUGGGCGUAAAGAGCUCGUAGGUGGU